RNAcentral lists this ribosomal RNA (253 nucleotides) under uncultured bacterium. RNAcentral's name for it is "partial 16S ribosomal RNA". It matches the Rfam family "Bacterial small subunit ribosomal RNA", at positions 524 to 776 of the family's 1533-position model. The record is from RNAcentral.
UACGUAGGGUGCGAGCGUUAAUCGGAAUUACUGGGCGUAAAGCGUGCGCAGGCGGUUUUGUAAGCCAGAUGUGAAAGCCCCGGGCUUAACCUGGGAAUGGCAUUUGGGACUGCAUUGCUAGGGUAUGGGAGAGGGAAGUGGAAUUUCAGGUGUAGCGGUGAAAUGCGUAGAUAUCUGAAGGAACAUCAGUGGCGAAAGCGACUUCCUGGACCAAUACUGACGCUCAUGUGCGAAAGCGUGGGGAGCAAACAGG